AUGAGUCAUUGGAAGAACUCGUGAGCUGCAGUUGGCUGCAUGAUUUCAAAGGCCUGACUCAUUGCUUCAGUGUCUGCAUUAAAAACGGCACAGAGGUUUUGUUUAGAAUGGCAAGAGCUUCUGAAACAGUGAAGGAGGCUAAGAGAACAAAGGGAAUAAGAAGGUUGGUCUUUGGAACAAUGGUGCUUUUUUCCCCAUCAGAAAAAGGAGGAAUUGUAUGGCUGGAAGCUGUUGCUGAAUUGGUUUUUGUUAGAUAAGGAAACAAGGGAAAAGAAAGAUCAUCCAGAGAUGACCACAAGAUAAAUGGAAACGCUAAAUCACGGAACAACCUAGGAUUUCUCUAUGUGUCUAGCUAUCAUUUCAGCACUUUAACAAGACAAGGCUAAGUCUUCAAAGACAGCCAGAAAAUUGUUCUGCAAACAAAAGGUUUGCCUGCUUCCUCCGAUUUAAGCCUGCAGUUAUAUCCAUAGAGAUGGAACUUGGAGACUUGAAAAUGGCAUCGCUUCUUACUAUUUCAGGAUAAGGUUGGAUUUGGGUUGGAUUUGGGCCGGUUGUUGUAGCUGAUUUUAUUAUCAGCCUGUUGGAUAUGUACAUGCUUUCUGGAGAGUCUUAGCAAAUUUUAAACUUAUACACGAAGACUGCAAAGCAAAGUGUUUGCCAGCUUUUUGAUUACUAAUCAAGCAAAGUUAGAAAGCUCCCUGCUGCAACUGAAGUUUUGAUUGGGAGGGGAAAAAAGAAAAAAAAGAAACCCUAAUUGACAAAAUCCAGAAAUGGAUUUUCAACUCUGGGCAAGAUCUGAAAAAAUAAACAUGGUAUUUG
This is a long non-coding RNA of Pantherophis guttatus, 819 nucleotides long. RefSeq lists it as uncharacterized. The record is from RefSeq and is a predicted model, not a curated record. Lineage: Eukaryota; Metazoa; Chordata; Lepidosauria; Squamata; Colubridae.